This 1436-nucleotide ribosomal RNA is filed under the name Bifidobacterium pseudocatenulatum. Its description in RNAcentral is "bacterial SSU rRNA". It matches the Rfam family "Bacterial small subunit ribosomal RNA". Lineage: Bacteria; Bacillati; Actinomycetota; Actinomycetes; Bifidobacteriales; Bifidobacteriaceae. The record is from RNAcentral.
AAUGCAUGGGCGGGUGCUUACACAUGCAAGUCGAACGGGAUCCAUCAGGCUUUGCUUGGUGGUGAGAGUGGCGAACGGGUGAGUAAUGCGUGACCGACCUGCCCCAUACACCGGAAUAGCUCCUGGAAACGGGUGGUAAUGCCGGAUGCUCCGACUCCUCGCAUGGGGUGUCGGGAAAGAUUUCAUCGGUAUGGGAUGGGGUCGCGUCCUAUCAGGUAGUCGGCGGGGUAACGGCCCACCGAGCCUACGACGGGUAGCCGGCCUGAGAGGGCGACCGGCCACAUUGGGACUGAGAUACGGCCCAGACUCCUACGGGAGGCAGCAGUGGGGAAUAUUGCACAAUGGGCGCAAGCCUGAUGCAGCGACGCCGCGUGCGGGAUGACGGCCUUCGGGUUGUAAACCGCUUUUGAUCGGGAGCAAGCCUUCGGGUGAGUGUACCUUUCGAAUAAGCACCGGCUAACUACGUGCCAGCAGCCGCGGUAAUACGUAGGGUGCAAGCGUUAUCCGGAAUUAUUGGGCGUAAAGGGCUCGUAGGCGGUUCGUCGCGUCCGGUGUGAAAGUCCAUCGCUUAACGGUGGAUCUGCGCCGGGUACGGGCGGGCUGGAGUGCGGUAGGGGAGACUGGAAUUCCCGGUGUAACGGUGGAAUGUGUAGAUAUCGGGAAGAACACCAAUGGCGAAGGCAGGUCUCUGGGCCGUUACUGACGCUGAGGAGCGAAAGCGUGGGGAGCGAACAGGAUUAGAUACCCUGGUAGUCCACGCCGUAAACGGUGGAUGCUGGAUGUGGGGCCCGUUCCACGGGUUCCGUGUCGGAGCUAACGCGUUAAGCAUCCCGCCUGGGGAGUACGGCCGCAAGGCUAAAACUCAAAGAAAUUGACGGGGGCCCGCACAAGCGGCGGAGCAUGCGGAUUAAUUCGAUGCAACGCGAAGAACCUUACCUGGGCUUGACAUGUUCCCGACAGCCGUAGAGAUAUGGCCUCCCUUCGGGGCGGGUUCACAGGUGGUGCAUGGUCGUCGUCAGCUCGUGUCGUGAGAUGUUGGGUUAAGUCCCGCAACGAGCGCAACCCUCGCCCUGUGUUGCCAGCACGUCAUGGUGGGAACUCACGGGGGACCGCCGGGGUCAACUCGGAGGAAGGUGGGGAUGACGUCAGAUCAUCAUGCCCCUUACGUCCAGGGCUUCACGCAUGCUACAAUGGCCGGUACAACGGGAUGCGACACGGCGACGUGGAGCGGAUCCCUGAAAACCGGUCUCAGUUCGGAUUGGAGUCUGCAACCCGACUCCAUGAAGGCGGAGUCGCUAGUAAUCGCGGAUCAGCAACGCCGCGGUGAAUGCGUUCCCGGGCCUUGUACACACCGCCCGUCAAGUCAUGAAAGUGGGUAGCACCCGAAGCCGGUGGCCUAACCCUUUGUGGAUGGAGCCGUCUAAGUAGACUCACCG